Pelobates cultripes (western spadefoot toad) is the source of this 211-nucleotide non-coding RNA. The record is from the annotation of a GenBank genome assembly. Lineage: Eukaryota; Metazoa; Chordata; Amphibia; Anura; Pelobatidae.
AUAGAGACAUGUAUUGCUUUAGAAAAGCAGGUAAAUAUAAUUUUUCAUUCAUGUGUAUUUGCUUAUUCUUUACUUUGUUUUACACACCCACACCAGAAGGGGGUGGGGGGAGGCACUGAUCUAAGCUAUCAGUAUUCUAUCCCUAGGAUUUCUGGAAAAGUGCAUUGGGAAUGCCUGACACAUGCAAUUUCAAGAUCUCUUCACCUUGCAA